Long non-coding RNA from Sander lucioperca (pikeperch), 624 nucleotides. RefSeq lists it as uncharacterized. The record is from RefSeq and is a predicted model, not a curated record. The transcript is spliced from 4 exons. NCBI's taxonomy places the organism in Eukaryota, Metazoa, Chordata, Actinopteri, Perciformes, Percidae.
GUUUUCUUAAAAACCACAUCUGGUUCCUGGGGCAGGGAGGCGAGAUGGAUGAUCAUGUUCAAAAUAAACUGGUAGAAUGGGACCUGGGUGAUUUACUCUCUACAUUUGAAGACAGGCGAGGACACGUGGCUUUGCUUCUGCUACCUGUGGUGCCCCCGGCACCUACAAAAUCCGGAGAAAGACGGUCCGCCCCAGCUACGCCGAAUCUACAAAAGCUUUCAUAGGUGAGCAGCCUGUUGGAACAAACAUCGCUGAAUACCUUAUGAAAAGGACAAGCACAGAGGUCCCACGUGUGCUUCUUCUUGGGGACAGGCAUCUGUUAUCGCAAGCCUUUGUUAUAGUGCAUGGACAUGCCCUGGAGCACCCAUCUCUUCUUGGGGCAGUAGAUGCCUGCUUUAAGGCUUUUUAUGUUUUUGAUGUACAGUAUCCUAGACCUUGUGCAGAACUGUGGUAGUUUUUGCAGACGAUAUAUGGUAUCCCUGGACAUGUUAGAUCAUCGGUACAGAUGAUGUGAGCAGUUUGCGGCACAGUGAACUGCAAACUGCUCAUAACGUUAUGCACACACACUAGAGUCUGGAUCGGGCCGAAUAUUUCUGUGCGAGCCCGGCCCGCGUCCGACAGGCA